GGGCCGUUAGCUCAGAUGGUAGAGCAGCGGACUUUUAAUCCGUUGGUCGGGAGUUCGAGUCUCCUACGGCCCA
RNAcentral lists this transfer RNA (73 nucleotides) under Syntrophaceae bacterium CG2_30_49_12. RNAcentral's name for it is "tRNA-Lys". It matches the Rfam family "tRNA". From Rfam's summary of the family: Transfer RNA (tRNA) molecules are approximately 80 nucleotides in length. Their secondary structure includes four short double-helical elements and three loops (D, anti-codon, and T loops). Lineage: Bacteria; Pseudomonadati; Thermodesulfobacteriota; Syntrophia; Syntrophales; Syntrophaceae. The record is from RNAcentral. RNAcentral also lists the same sequence under 1 other name.